CACCUCUUCCCAUUCCGAACAGAGAAGUUAAGCCCACUUGCGCCGAUGGUACUGCACAGCAAUGCGGGAGAGUAGGCAGCCGCCUUCU
This 88-nucleotide ribosomal RNA is filed under the name Prevotella sp. Lineage: Bacteria; Pseudomonadati; Bacteroidota; Bacteroidia; Bacteroidales; Prevotellaceae. The record is from RNAcentral.